Magnolia sinica is the source of this 449-nucleotide long non-coding RNA. RefSeq lists it as uncharacterized. Lineage: Eukaryota; Viridiplantae; Streptophyta; Magnoliopsida; Magnoliales; Magnoliaceae. The transcript is spliced from 3 exons. The record is from RefSeq and is a predicted model, not a curated record.
AAUCUUGGGAGUGGUCCUAGUGGAUCCACGAGUAGCUCUUUUGUUGCUUGUGGUUAUCCAACCAUCAACUCGAAUUAGCAAUUUCUCUUGAGCAACCCACAAUUAUCUUCUCAAGAAAGCGUUGUGUGUAACCAGUUGUCAUCACAACAAUCUGACAAUAAUUAAUCGAUGGGAAGAGCAUCAUAUACGUUCUAAUAUUUUGUCAAAAGAUUUAUGUUCCAAGAAGCAGACUAUAAGGACGUUCGGUGUGAAUGUGUUGGCAGUCUAAUAAUUUGUGGCUCUCUGUAGAUUUUGUAUAGUCAAUUUAUUUUUAUCUUAUGGGCCCACUGUAUUAAUUAUCAGGUGGCUGAGAUUUUUAAUAAGGUGUCCAUAUAAUGCUUGAGGCAGACCAAAGUAGGAUUUAUUUGGUAGCUGUUUCAAAAUGAUGAUUGGAAGGGUAUUUUUUUUUU